CUAUAUUAUUCACAUUUAUUCACAAUUGUUAUACCUUAAGGAGAAAUGUGCAGCGGUGAUCUUCAUUGUCAGUUUUGUCUCUUCACUGGUCAGAUGUUGUCUCUGUUCUUAAUUGUUAUUUCUCUGCUCAAAGAGAACGCUGAAGCAAAUACAAUAAACCCACUGAUCCCAGAGAAGCACGUCACAGCAGGAGACAAUGUUACCCUGUCCUGCGAUUACAGUGGUCGUGUGAACACCUUGCAGUGGUAUCGACAAAAUCCAGGAUCUCAAUUAGAGUUUCUUAUUUUUGUUACUGAGCUCAGAGGCCGGUCAGAGCCUGCACUUCGGCUUUCAUCUGUGGCUGAUGAACGCAGUAAACGCAUGAAUCUGAGCAUCUUUCAGACAGAAAUGGAAGAUUCUGCUUUGUACUACUGUGCAUUGGUGCCCACGGUGACAAGAAACACUGCAACACUGUACAAAAACCUGACAUCAUUAGCACCAAUAGAUCAGACAUUAUAUUUCAACUUUUUUGCAACAAAUGUGAUGUUUUUUCCGCAAGAGCUUACGAUUCCAUUUGGGACAGAGACUAUAAAGACUCCAUUGCAGAAGUCAAUCAUAUUGCCAGAAGGCCAAAGUGGAGCUUAA
Molecule: non-coding RNA, 624 nt
Organism: Megalobrama amblycephala (Wuchang bream)
Lineage: Eukaryota; Metazoa; Chordata; Actinopteri; Cypriniformes; Xenocyprididae
Source: the annotation of a RefSeq genome assembly